Molecule: long non-coding RNA, 1394 nt
Organism: Amphiprion ocellaris (clown anemonefish)
Lineage: Eukaryota; Metazoa; Chordata; Actinopteri; Pomacentridae
Source: Ensembl
GUCCUGUUUUGGAUGUGCCCUUGAGUUGUUUCAUGUUUUUAAUGCGAACUGUCACGUAACCAAACUGAGCUCUUUUCAUUUAUGACUUGGCCCCCAGUGAGUCAGUGUCCAGAAACAUUUUGAGGAAGUUGGUUUUGCCAGAAACAGGAAACCCUUCAGUUGCAGUUUAUUCAUCAAGACAAAAUGAGAAGUGCUGAAGAGACACACGGAACAAUCUCAUCAGAAGACCAGAAACACACCCAACUAACUCCUAAAUCGCAACAUGGAUUCUCAGCAGUUUUGGCAUCUUUUCUUCGUGUUUCCUUGGAUGUUUGUAUUUUGUCUCCCUUCUGUGUGUUCAGGAAUGAAUGCACCAAAAAUGCGCUUGGAGAACACUGUCUUUGUGGCCUUUGCAGGUGAAGAUCUCAGGAUUAACUGUGAGUUGGAGAAACCAGCAAACCAAUCUAAAGACAUCUUGAGGUGCUUCAGUCCUCACGGAGAAAUUUACCACUGUGACGUUGCUUCUACGGAUGGUCACCCACAUACAGACAAACUGCAACUGGAGCUGAAAAAGUUGACCUAUUCAGGAGAAUACAACUGCCAGUAUAAAACGGCGAAGGUGUACUUUUUUCUUCGAGUGAGGGCUGAAGGCUACAAGGAGCCCAAAAUGUUCAACUACACCAAACUCAUCACGGUGGCCACCAUCACUGGUGUGCUGUUGAUCUUGAGUGUGAUCGGCUCAGUGUAUGUCUUCAGAGGAUAUUGGAAAGAGAAGAUGACUGAAAGUGGCGACAGGCAGAAAACUAGCAGAAAACCAAAGGACAACAGAGAAGAGAGGAAAAAGGAAGAUAUGGAUGAAACUCAUGCAGAUGUAAUGGCAGCUGAGUCUACGUCCUUCUAUGCUAGUCUUGAGACUCGACCCAGGUCCAUCUAUGAUGUUCUGGACCACUCAGCUGCCAGCAGAGAGCCGGACCGGAGGAAACCUAAACCAAAGAAAAAGAAACCCCCAAAAACGGUGGCGCAAACUACAGAGCAGCAGGAUGAAGGUGUGUUUGAGUGUGUUUAUGAAAACUUCUGAAUCGUUAAUAAACUUAUUCCAGUAGACUAUGAUAUUCAUAUCAGCAGCUGUAAUAUGUAUCAUUGCUUUCCUAUUUUGAUGUCAUACGUAACAGUAACAGAAUAACUUAGAUUCUGUACCUCAGUGUAAGUAGCAAAACCACAAUGUGAAAAUACUCAAUAAAGGUACAAAUAAAGGUUUUGCUUUUAAAACAUGUAAAUAAAAAUGUACAAGAGUAUUAAAAAAUGUGCUCAGAGUAUUAAAAUAACUAACCAAGCAGACUACUGGAUUGUUCUGACUGAUUUCCAAACAUUUUUGUAGCAUUUUAAUGUUGUAGCUGAUUGAAGUGGAAUUGUUU